AAAAAAGAUAAACUUCCAACAUUUCAAAAUAAGCACUCAUUCAACAUUAAAAUAUGGGCAAUCUAUUAUCUAUGUAAGUACAGAAUGUGGUGUAACUCUCUAAAAUGUGUCUAUUAAUACAAAAGGAACAACUACUUUAAAGCCAUCCUAUAGUUUAGUAAACUACACUACAGAUUUGUCAGAAAUUACUUGCAAAUUAAGCACAUUCCUUUAUACCUCUGUACCUUCCUUCCUGCUUCAAGAUACCGUCACAGAAUGAACAUAUACAACUUAAAUUAGUUGAUUUUCCAGGGUGCUUCACUUCUCCUCUCCCCGUGCAACACGACUACAGUUUAAGUUCACAUAAAUUGAUACUUAGCACCGGUAAUUCAGUCUCUUUAAAACCAGUUUAAUUUUCAAAGUUCUAAUAAGAUGUGUUCAGGUUGAAAACUAAAAACUACCUUAUAAGGGUAUAAAAGAUUGAAAGCAGGAAGCGGGUUUGACAAAACUAAGGAAGUUGCAGCGCGCUUGCUCACUGAGGGACUUUUUUGAGGCUUGAGAAGUAACACAUGACAUCUUUCUCUCUCGAAUUAAAAUGUGACUGGGUUCACUGGUAAAAAAACGAAGAGGGAGAUGGAAAUGACCGGGAGUCGAAAAGAGAAGAUGAAGAUGCUAGAGGAGGAUUCUUUGCUGCUUCUUCCACUGUCAGAUAGUACCCUGUGAGUGCCAAACAGGAGCAUCUUAUUUGCAGAGAUUUCAAAUCAAUGGAAACUUUGAACAGCUAUAACUUUUCUGUAUACUUUCCUGCCACGAGAAAGAACAAUGACAGCAAUCUCCCAUCAAAAGGGAAACCAUGGGGAAUGGAGCAGAGUGCACAAAGGCUGAUGCCCACGCUGAGCCCAAAAUAGUUCCAAGUGGAUUUGCCUGAACAAAAAAAAAGAUGUCAUCAGCACCCAGAGUAGAAGAAGAAGAAAGAGAAGUAUGAGGAAGAGGAGGAGAAGGAUGAAGAAGAGGGGAAAUGAGAAGAAGAAGAAGAAAGAGAACCCCAAUAGGCAUUUUCACAUGGGAAGAAUUUGUGUCUUAACCUCAGUGCAGAAGGCAUGACAGAUCUUCCCCUACAGGAGAAAAUAAAAGAAAGCCCCUGUGAACUCGACAAGAUAGCUGUUGAUUCUCUGCCUAAAGGAGAGAGCAAAGCUGAGAGAACUGUGUGAGACAGUAGGCAGAAGUUGCCUCAGUAGCACAACUGCUCUCUCUGUGACAAGCAGAGGCCCAGUUUCAGCAAGGAUGGGCUGAGUACACACACUGGCCAAAUACUGCAUCGGAUGCCAGAGAUGUGAAGACGAGGAGAACAUGGUCCUUUAUCCUAAGCACCGCAAAGCUUAGUGGGGAAGGACAAAUGGAACCAACAAUGGAACACAUCGUGAUUGUGGUUGAUGUUAAAAAGGAGCCGAGAUGAAAAGUACUCUGUGGUCACAUUAGAGGGAGAAUGGCCAGCUCUAAUGAAGGGUAGGAGAGAAGCCAUCACAGCAGGCAGAAUGCAGGUGCCAGGUAGGUCUUCAUGUUGGGUCUGGCCAGCAGUUAUUAUGUGACAAUGAAUUAAACUAUGGAGUUUAUUGACAGCUCAUGUUUGUACUAAUUCUUCUAUUUUCUUAAUGAUCUUUUCAAUUUAAACAUGUUUAUUUCACAAGUGUGUAUGCAUGUGUGAAUGUAAGUAUACAUACAUAUAUGUAUGCGUGUGUGCGAGUGUACAUAGAAAAUGCAAGACUUUCUUUGAUGACUCUUGCUUCUGCUUCUCCAGCUUAAAUGUUCAAGUGCUUAAAUGCUUGAAGCUAUGCUUCUUCUGUUAUACAUUGUAGAUAUAAAUAGUGAUUUCUCCUGCAAAAGCUGAAACUGGUGUCAGUUUACUGUACAGUUAUUAAUACAUACGUAUGUGUGUGUGUGUUUAUAUGCGUACACCCCUUUGACGCUAAUUCCAACAAUACUCUCCUUUCUUCCAUCUUUACUUUCCAUUCUGUAAUUUCUUCACCGUCCUUGUCCUACAAUUGGCCAGCAUCAACCAGCCAGGGCCCAGCAAUGAGUGCCAGGAUCCCUGGAAAAAGAGAAAGCUGGAGAGACCCAAUGUCAUGGUCUCAUUUGUAGCUCCUGUCAAAGCUCCAUGCCAUUCAGCAACUUCCAAAUAGGUCUCACUUUGGGGAGUGCUGCUGUCUUUACUUUGAGCAGGUGCUCUGUGCCCAGCGCUGCUGUCUUGUUAGCCCUUGAGAGUUUUUCUCUUAAUAGUGUAUUUGCUGGAGCACUCUGUUUCUACCUGUUUAAAGCUGUCCCAUCUCUCCUGCAGCUUUCUCAAAGUCGCACUGGUCCAAGGAAAAGGGACUUAUUCCUCUCACAUGUAACAGGAGGAAAGCUCGAAGUAGUGUCACCUAAUAAAGAUUGAUGUUGAUGCCUAUUGUUGAUUGAAAAUAGUCUUUGGCCCAGUGGCCAAAGACUAUUUUCUGUGCUGGUCCAGUAGGCACCACUCCCCACCCCCGCUGCUGAAAUUCAGUAGCAGAAAUGUCUGCUGUUCAUCAUUCCCUACCCACUCCUGGGUAGUGGAACAGUCUUGGUUGAAGCUUACCUCACAUCCCCAAAAGCACUUUGAAAACUGUAGUGCAUCAUACCAACAUAGGGCGUUACUACAAUGAUGUUAGAAACAGCAACCUAUUAAAGAGUUAAAUUUUUCUGCGUAGAUCACACCCGUCCCUAUUCAUUUAUUAAUAUUCAUGUGAACUACUUUGGGACAAAUUUGUCUUGUUGUUCCUUGGUAUCAUUAAGAGGCUACCCAUAUGAUUGCAGAGGGGUACAAAGGAGACUUCAACUUUUCAGGAAUAUUCCUUCAUUUAAAAAAUGUGAUGAAU
Microcebus murinus (gray mouse lemur) is the source of this 2870-nucleotide non-coding RNA. The record is from RefSeq and is a predicted model, not a curated record. Lineage: Eukaryota; Metazoa; Chordata; Mammalia; Primates; Cheirogaleidae.